CAUAAGUUGUUUGUUCAAGUAGCAAUUAGGACUCAUAUUUAGUUUCAACGUGAAUUCAAUUAGGACUCAUAUUUAGGUUUAUAGUGGCGGUGUCCUCUAAUUGCCGUAGUAGUUAUGACAGCAGCAAAGCAGUAAAGUAAUUUAUUUU
Molecule: long non-coding RNA, 148 nt
Organism: Sander lucioperca (pikeperch)
Lineage: Eukaryota; Metazoa; Chordata; Actinopteri; Perciformes; Percidae
Exons: 4
Source: RefSeq, a predicted model, not a curated record